AAGUCGUAACAAGGUCUCCGUUGGUGAACCAGCGGAGGGAUCAUUACAGAGUUGCAAAACUCCCUAAACCAUUGUGAACGUUACCUAAACCGUUGCUUCGGCGGGCGGCCCGGGUCCUUCCCAGGCGCCCCUCGGCCCUCGCGGGCGCCCGCCGGAGGUAAACCAAACUAUUGCAUUGUAUGGCCUCUCUGAGUCUUCUGUACUGAAUAAGUCAAAACUUUCAACAACGGAUCUCUUGGUUCUG
RNAcentral lists this unclassified non-coding RNA (244 nucleotides) under fungal sp. RNAcentral describes it as "partial internal transcribed spacer region". The stretch from base 1 to 46 matches the Rfam family "Eukaryotic small subunit ribosomal RNA", at positions 1786 to 1831 of the family's 1831-position model. The record is from RNAcentral. Lineage: Eukaryota; Fungi.